Molecule: long non-coding RNA, 1201 nt
Filed under: Ananas comosus (pineapple)
Lineage: Eukaryota; Viridiplantae; Streptophyta; Magnoliopsida; Poales; Bromeliaceae
Description: long non-coding RNA (ACOM_LNC013865)
Source: RNAcentral
AUAAAUAAAACCCAUGAAACUCAAAAUCCACAAAUGAAACCAAAAAUCUACAAAUAAAAUUCAAAACCUAAAGUUUACAAAUAAAAUUCAACUCAAUCUAUUUCAUAAAUAAACUCACCAAAGCCCAAGAGCAUAAAUCCCAAAAUUACUAAAUCUAUAUCAUUCAAAUGUCUCCAACCCAAACCAAAUUUAUCUAAACAUGGGCUCCUACCAUGAAUUAAUUUCAUGAACCAAUUUCAUGAGCUUUUUAAAUGGGCCUCUAUCCUGAAUUAAUUUCACGAACUAAAAAUAGGCUUUCCAAAUGGGCCUCUAUUCACGAAUUAAUUUCAAGGACCACAAAGAUGGACAUCUAUCAUAAAUUAAUUUCAUGAACCAGUUUAAUUGGCUUUCCAAAUGGACCUCUAUCUAUGAAUUACUUCCAUGAACCACAAAGAUGGACCUCUAUCAUGAAUUAAUUUCAUGAAUCAAUUUCACGAGCUUCAAAUUCAACAUGAUCGUCAAAUCGUUAAAUUGAACAAUGACGGUUAAGUCGUUAAACUGAACAAUGACCGUCAAGUCGUUAAACUGAACAAUAGACCGUUAAGUUGUUAAACUGAACAAGUGACUGCCAAGUCGUUAAACUGAGUAAAUCAAAUUGAAGCUCAAAUUGACUGCCAAGUCAUUAAACUGAGCAAACUAAGUCCAAGUUCAAAUUGACCGCCAAAUUUUUAAACUGAGCAAACUGAGUUUAAAUUCAAAUUAACCGCCAAGUCGUUAAACCAUGCAAUCUAAAUUCAAACUCAACUCAAUUUGACAGCCAAGUCGUUAAACUGAGCAAAUUUAAUUAGUUUCAACUCAACUUGACUACCAACUCAAUAAAUUGAUGAUUUCAGUUUUACAAAAUUAAUGUAUAGUGGGGAUUGAGUAUUUCAGUUUUACAAAAUUUAUGUACAGUUGGCGUAUGCCCCUUCUUAAGCCAUGUACACAGCAAAUUAUAUUAAUAAAAUUUUAUCUUCAUGCCUCAGUCUUUUUCAUUAUAAGCGUUUGUAUUCGGUCUCUUAAUUGAGAGUUUCUUAACACUGAACGUGUCGGAUAAUUAACAACAGAUUCUUGAGUCUGUUGGAAGCCAUGAAUCCAUAAUCCUAAUUUCAAAAUAAAAUUUAAACAAAUUUAAUCUAUACCAUAAAUAACCACUCGCCUUAGAAAUAUCUGCGGCGGGGGU